RNAcentral lists this ribosomal RNA (253 nucleotides) under uncultured bacterium. RNAcentral's name for it is "partial 16S ribosomal RNA". It matches the Rfam family "Bacterial small subunit ribosomal RNA", at positions 524 to 776 of the family's 1533-position model. The record is from RNAcentral.
UACGUAGGGUGCAGGCGUUAAUCGGAAUUACUGGGCGUAAAGCGUGCGCAGGCGGUUUGCUAAGACAGGUGUGAAAUCCCCGGGCUUAACCUGGGAACUGCGCUUGUAACUGGCAAGCUGGAGUGUGGCAGAGGGGGGUGGAAUUCCACAUGUAGCAGUGAAAUGCGUAGAGAUGUGGAGGAACACCGAUGGCGAAGGCAGCCCCCUGGGCUAACACUGACGCUCAUGCACGAAAGCGUGGGGAGCAAACAGG